AACUUUAUAUUCAAUGAAUGAUACUAAAUUGCAAAUUUAGAGUAGUAAAUUUAAUUUACUAAAGUUU
RNAcentral lists this transfer RNA (67 nucleotides) under Chelipoda sp. YD3012. RNAcentral describes it as "tRNA-Cys". Lineage: Eukaryota; Metazoa; Arthropoda; Insecta; Diptera; Empididae. The record is from RNAcentral.